GAUGAAGAACGCAGCGAAAUGCGAUAAGUAAUGCGAAUUGCAGAAUUUCCGUGAGUCAUCGAAUCUUUGAACGCACAUUGCGCCCACUGGUAUUCCGGUGGGCAUGCCUGUUCGAGCGUCAUUAUCCUCCCUCAAACCCCGGGUUUGGUGUUGGACCCAAGUUGUGUGAACAACUGGUCUCAAAGACAAUGACGGCGUCCGUGGGACCCUUGGUGCAACGAGCUUUUAGGAGCACGCAUCGAGUUGCAAGGACCUUCCGGGCCGGUCUCCUUUACCAUUUUACAAGGUUGACCUCGGAUCAGGUAGGAAUACCCGCUGAACUUAAGCAUAUCAAUAAGCGGAGGA
RNAcentral lists this unclassified non-coding RNA (345 nucleotides) under soil metagenome. Its description in RNAcentral is "partial contains 5.8S ribosomal RNA, internal transcribed spacer 2, and large subunit ribosomal RNA". The stretch from base 1 to 121 matches the Rfam family "5.8S ribosomal RNA", at positions 35 to 154 of the family's 154-position model. The record is from RNAcentral.